RNAcentral lists this unclassified non-coding RNA (189 nucleotides) under plant metagenome. RNAcentral describes it as "partial contains small subunit ribosomal RNA and internal transcribed spacer 1". The stretch from base 1 to 46 matches the Rfam family "Eukaryotic small subunit ribosomal RNA", at positions 1786 to 1831 of the family's 1831-position model. The record is from RNAcentral.
AAGUCGUAACAAGGUCUCCGUAGGUGAACCUGCGGAGGGAUCAUUACUGAGUGAGGGCCCCCGGCCCGACCUCCAACCCUUUGUAAACCGACCCUGUUGCCUCGGGGACUCCGGCUCGUCGGCGGCCCGGCCCGGGCCACCCCACUCUGCGUCUUUGCGUCUGAGUCUUGAAUGAUAAAUCAAUUAAAA